UUUCCGUAGGUGAACCUGCGGAAGGAUCAUUAUCGUAGAGCUUCGGCUCUUUCGAGGGAGAACCCUUGCCUUUUCGAGCACCUGUUUGUUUCCUCGGCAGGCCCGCCUGCCAAUGGGGACCUUUUUAAACCCUUGCGAUAACCUGAACAAAAAUCGUCUGAACAAAAAAAAAAUCUAAAUCAAAACUUUCAACAACGGAUCUCUUGGUUCUG
Molecule: unclassified non-coding RNA, 212 nt
Filed under: soil metagenome
Description: partial contains small subunit ribosomal RNA, internal transcribed spacer 1, and 5.8S ribosomal RNA
Source: RNAcentral